AACGAACGCUGGCGGCAGGCCUAACACAUGCAAGUCGAGCGGGACCUUCGGGUCUAGCGGCGGACGGGUUAGUAACGCGUGGGAACGUGCCCAAAGGUACGGAAUAGCCUCGGGAAACUGAGAGUAAUACCGUAUGUGCCCCUCGGGGGAAAGGAUUUAUCGCCUUUGGAUCGGCCCGCGUUGGAUUAGGUAGUUGGUGGGGUAAUGGCCUACCAAGCCGACGAUCCAUAGCUGGUUUGAGAGGAUGAUCAGCAACACUGGGACUGAGACACGGCCCAGACUCCUACGGGAGGCAGCAGUGGGGAAUCUUAGACAAUGGGGGGAACCCUGAUCUAGCCAUGCCGCGUGAGCGAUGAAGGCCUUAGGGUUGUAAAGCUCUUUCAGAUGGGAAGAUAAUGACGGUA
RNAcentral lists this ribosomal RNA (404 nucleotides) under uncultured bacterium. RNAcentral's name for it is "bacterial SSU rRNA". It matches the Rfam family "Bacterial small subunit ribosomal RNA", at positions 29 to 477 of the family's 1533-position model. The record is from RNAcentral.